This 620-nucleotide ribosomal RNA is filed under the name uncultured bacterium. Its description in RNAcentral is "bacterial SSU rRNA". It matches the Rfam family "Bacterial small subunit ribosomal RNA", at positions 334 to 945 of the family's 1533-position model. The record is from RNAcentral.
UACUCCUACGGGAGGCAGCAGUGGGGAAUAUUGGACAAUGGGGGGAACCCUGAUCCAGCCAUGCCGCGUGUGUGAAGAAGGCCUUAUGGUUGUAAAGCACUUUAAGCGAGGAGGAGGCUACUGAGACUAACACUCUUGGAUAGUGGACGUUACUCGCAGAAUAAGCACCGGCUAACUCUGUGCCAGCAGCCGCGGUAAUACAGAGGGUGCGAGCGUUAAUCGGAUUUACUGGGCGUAAAGCGUGCGUAGGCGGCUUUUUAAGUCGGAUGUGAAACCCCCGAGCUUAACUUGGGAAUUGCAUUCGAUACUGGGAAGCUAGAGUAUGGGAGAGGAUGGUAGAAUUCCAGGUGUAGCGGUGAAAUGCGUAGAGAUCUGGAGGAAUACCGAUGGCGAAGGCAGCCAUCUGGCCUAAUACUGACGCUGAGGUACGAAAGCAUGGGGAGCAAACAGGAUUAGAUACCCUGGUAGUCCAUGCCGUAAACGAUGUCUACUAGCCGUUGGGGCCUUUGAGGCUUUAGUGGCGCAGCUAACGCGAUAAGUAGACCGCCUGGGGAGUACGGUCGCAAGACUAAAACUCAAAUGAAUUGACGGGGGCCCGCACAAGCGGUGGAGCAUGUGGA